GAUGAACGCUAGCGGCAGGCUUAACACAUGCAAGUCGAGGGGCAGCGCGGGAUAGCAAUAUCCUGGCGGCGACCGGCGGAAGGGUGCGUAACGCGUGAGCGACAUGCCCGUUGCCCGGGGACAACCGGUGGAAACGCCGACUAAUCCCCGAUGGGAUAUUGUGCCGCAUGGCACGAUAUUGAAAGUUACGGCGGCGACGGAUUGGCUCGCGUCCGAUUAGCUUGUUGGCGGGGUAACGGCCCACCAAGGCUGCGAUCGGUAGGGGUUCUGAGAGGAAGGCCCCCCACAAUGGGACUGAGACACGGCCCAUACUCCUACGGGAGGCAGCAGUGAGGAAUAUUGGUCAAUGGGCGGAAGCCUGAACCAGCCAUGCCGCGUGCGGGAAGGAGGCCCUAUGGGCUGUGAACCGCUUUUGCCUGGGGGCAAUAAGGGCGUCGCGCACGUCCGAUGAGAGUACCAGGCGAAUAAGCAUCGGCUAACUCCGUG
This 486-nucleotide ribosomal RNA is filed under the name uncultured bacterium. RNAcentral's name for it is "partial 16S ribosomal RNA". It matches the Rfam family "Bacterial small subunit ribosomal RNA", at positions 28 to 507 of the family's 1533-position model. The record is from RNAcentral.